AGUGAACGCUGGCGGUAUGCCUAACACAUGCAAGUCGAACGGCAGCACAGUAAGAGCUUGCUCUUACGGGUGGCGAGUGGCGGGCGGGUGAGGAAUACAUCGGAAUCUACUUUUUCGUGGGGGAUAACGUAGGGAAACUUACGCUAAUACCGCAUACGACCUACGGGUGAAAGCAGGGGAUCUUCUGACCUUGCGCGAUUGAAUGAGCCGAUGUCGGAUUAGCUAGUUGGCGGGGUAAAGGCCCACCAAGGCGACGAUCCGUAGCUGGUCUGAGAGGAUGAUCAGCCACACUGGAACUGAGACACGGUCCAGACUCCUACGGGAGGCAGCAGUGGGGAAUAUUGGACAAUGGGCGCAAGCCUGAUCCAGCCAUACCGCGUGGGUGAAAAAGGCCUUCGGGUUGUAAAGCCCUGUUGUUGGGAAAGAAAAGCAGCAGGUUAAUACCCCGCUGUUCUGACGGUACCCAAAGAAUAAGCACCGGCUAACUUCGUG
This 492-nucleotide ribosomal RNA is filed under the name uncultured bacterium. Its description in RNAcentral is "partial 16S ribosomal RNA". It matches the Rfam family "Bacterial small subunit ribosomal RNA", at positions 29 to 507 of the family's 1533-position model. The record is from RNAcentral.